This is a long non-coding RNA of Nicotiana tabacum (common tobacco), 545 nucleotides long. RefSeq lists it as uncharacterized. The record is from RefSeq and is a predicted model, not a curated record. NCBI's taxonomy places the organism in Eukaryota, Viridiplantae, Streptophyta, Magnoliopsida, Solanales, Solanaceae.
CACUCUCACACACAUCUUUACACACGCCCGAGCCACAACAACAGCUGGAAGCCCUAGAGUUUCAGAUCUGAAAACAAAAACUCCCAAAUAUCAAAAUAAAAACUCCCAAAGAAGAGGAUUUCGAAGAGCUGAUUGACCUCUACUGGUUGCUAUACAAUUUCUGGGAUUUUCUGAAUUGAUCAAGUUUUAAAAAUCAUUUUUGUUUUCUGUUGCUGUUCUGGGUUUUCUGUAGCUGAGCUCCACUUCAUAGCUGUUGUUUUUCCUGCCUUUAUUUGGCUUUUUGUAAGACUUUGCACUGCUGCAAGGUUAAUCAGGCAAUUCUGAGUUCAUUUCAGCAGGCAGGGUUGAAUAGAAAUGAGGAUUUGGGAAUAGUCUUAGUCCUAAAAGUUGUUAGAGAUCACAAAUAGUUAUCUUAAUGUAAUAAUGUUGCAUCAAAUUAGAUUUACAUCUUUCGUGUGCUAUUGCUAAGCAGCUUAUGAUGUAAGGAUUAAUUGCAUGUUUGAUCUUGAAGAUGGUAGCCCCCGUUAUUAAUAUUGUUUCGAACA